UGGGGAAUCUUGCGCAAUGGGCGAAAGCCUGACGCAGCCAUGCCGCGUGAAUGAUGAAGGUCUUAGGAUUGUAACAUUCUUUCACCGGGGACGAUAAUGACGGUACCCGGAGAAGAAGCCCCGGCUAACUUCGUGCCUGCAGCCGCGGUAAUACGAAGGGGGCUAGCGUUGCUCGGAAUUACUGGGCGUAAAGGGAGCGUAGGCGGACAUUUAAGUCAGGGUUGAAAUCCCGGGGCUCAACCCCGGAAUUGCCUUUGAUACUGGGUGUCUUGGGUAAGAGGUAGGGGUGUGGAACUCCGAGUGUAGAGGUGAAAUUCGUAGAUAUUCGGAAGAAAACCAGUGGCGAAGGCGAAACACUGGCACAUUAAUGACGCUGAGGCUCGAAAGCGUGGGGAGCAAACAGG
RNAcentral lists this ribosomal RNA (404 nucleotides) under Actinomycetes bacterium. RNAcentral describes it as "Actinobacteria bacterium partial 16S ribosomal RNA". It matches the Rfam family "Bacterial small subunit ribosomal RNA", at positions 355 to 776 of the family's 1533-position model. The record is from RNAcentral. Lineage: Bacteria; Bacillati; Actinomycetota; Actinomycetes.